RNAcentral lists this ribosomal RNA (253 nucleotides) under uncultured bacterium. Its description in RNAcentral is "partial 16S ribosomal RNA". It matches the Rfam family "Bacterial small subunit ribosomal RNA", at positions 524 to 776 of the family's 1533-position model. The record is from RNAcentral.
UACGUAGGGGGCUAGCGUUGUCCGGAAUCAUUGGGCGUAAAGAGCGUGUAGGCGGUCCGGUAAGUCUGCUGUGAAAGUCGGGGGCUCAACCCUCGAAUGCCGGUGGAUACUGUCGGGCUAGAGUGCGGAAGAGGCGAGUGGAUUUCCUGGUGUAGCGGUGAAAUGCGCAGAUAUCAGGAGGAACACCUAUUGCGAAGGCAGCUCGCUGGGACGUAACUGACGCUGAGACGCGAAAGCGUGGGGAGCAAACAGG